GUCUAUAGCCAUGCCACCCUGAACAAGCCUGAUUCUGUCUUGGAAGCUAAGCAGGGUCGGGUCUGGUUAGUACUUGGAUGGGAGACCACCUAGGAAGACCAGGUGCUAUAGGCA
RNAcentral lists this ribosomal RNA (114 nucleotides) under Pteropus alecto (black flying fox). Lineage: Eukaryota; Metazoa; Chordata; Mammalia; Chiroptera; Pteropodidae. The record is from RNAcentral.